This 253-nucleotide ribosomal RNA is filed under the name uncultured bacterium. RNAcentral describes it as "partial 16S ribosomal RNA". It matches the Rfam family "Bacterial small subunit ribosomal RNA", at positions 524 to 776 of the family's 1533-position model. The record is from RNAcentral.
GACGUAGGGCGCGAGCGUUGUCCGGAUUUAUUGGGCGUAAAGAGCUCGUAGGCGGCUUGUCGCGUCGACUGUGAAAACCCGCAGCUCAACUGUGGGCUUGCAGCCGAUACGGGCAGACUAGAGUGUGGUAGGGGAGACUGGAAUUCCUGGUGUAGCGGUGAAAUGCGCAGAUAUCAGGAGGAACACCGAUGGCGAAGGCAGGUCUCUGGGCCACUACUGACGCUGAGAAGCGAAAGCGUGGGGAGCGAACAGG